Molecule: ribosomal RNA, 459 nt
Filed under: uncultured bacterium
Lineage: Bacteria
Description: partial 16S ribosomal RNA
Rfam family: Bacterial small subunit ribosomal RNA
Source: RNAcentral
CCUACGGGCGGCAGCAGUGAGGAAUAUUGGUCAAUGGUCAGGAGACUGAACCAGCCAAGCCGCGUGAGGGAUGAAGGUACAGAGUAUCGUAAACCUCUUUUGUCAGGGAACAAAGGCGGGGACGUGUCCCCGGAUGAGUGUACCUGAAGAAAAAGCAUCGGCUAACUCCGUGCCAGCAGCCGCGGUAAUACGGAGGAUGCGAGCGUUAUCCGGAUUUAUUGGGUUUAAAGGGUGCGAAGGCGGUCUGUUAAGUCAGCGGUAAAAGCCCGGGGCUCAACCCCGGUCCGCCGUUGAAACUGGCAGUCUCGAGUUGGAGAGAAGUAUGCGGAAUGCGCGGUGUAGCGGUGAAAUGCAGAGAUAUCGCGCAGAACUCCGAUUGCGAAGGCAGCAUGCCGGCUCCACACUGACGCUGAGGCACGAAAGCGUGGGUAUCGAACAGGAUUAGAUACCCCAGUAGUC